GUGCUGGCUUGGGCAGCAAUUGUACUAAAAUUAGAACAAUACAGAGAUUAGUAAGGACCCUGUGCAAGGAUGACAUGAAAUUCAUGAAGAGUUCCAUAUUUUU
Peromyscus maniculatus bairdii (prairie deer mouse) is the source of this 103-nucleotide small nuclear RNA. Lineage: Eukaryota; Metazoa; Chordata; Mammalia; Rodentia; Cricetidae. The record is from Ensembl.